Chelonoidis abingdonii (Abingdon island giant tortoise) is the source of this 296-nucleotide non-coding RNA. NCBI's taxonomy places the organism in Eukaryota, Metazoa, Chordata, Testudines, Testudinidae. The record is from RefSeq and is a predicted model, not a curated record.
UGGGAACUGAAUAGUUAUCCAGGGCUGGCGCUACCACUUAGGCAGCCGAGGCAAUCGCCUAGGGAGCCAGAAUAAUUGGUGGGCGGCAUUUUGCCGGAGGGGGCGGCAGGCAGCGCCGGUGGAGCUGCCGCAGUGGUGACUGCGGAGGGUCUGCUGGUCCGCGGCUCCGGUGGAGCUGCCGCAGUCGUGCCUGCGGACAGUCGGCUCCUCGUGCGGCUCCGGUGUACCACCCACAGGCAUGACUGCAGCAGCUCCACCGGAGCCACAGAGCACUGGACCCUCUGCAGGCACCACUG